UUCUGCAUGAGGCUCAACAAGCUCAUGUCCGCCGGCGUCAGCUCCGGCAGCGGCGUAUCGCCGUCGAGGUACUGCAUGACCUGCCUCAUGGUAGGCCUCUCACCGGGGAACGGGUGGGAACACAUGAGCCCAAGCAUCAGCACCAUCCUGGCCUCAUCAACGUUGUAGUUUCCCUGCAGCCUGGAGUCCACGGUCUCCUCCAGCGAGCCCCUGUGCCAGCACUCGAGCACCCGGUCAACCAGCAACUUCCGGCCAUGGUGCACGGUGUCGACGAGCACCGGGCGCCGGCCGCAGGUGACCUCGAGCAGGAACGUGCCGAAGGCGUACACGUCGGUGAGAGGGGACGCCUUGCCGGUCCUCGCGAGCUCCGGCGCGAUGUACCCCAUGGUGCCGACCACGUGCGUGGUCUGCAGGUCGGCGCCGUGGUCGUACAGCCUUGCGAGGCCGAAGUCGCCGAGGUGCGCGACCAUGGCGCCGUCGAGGAGCACGUUGCUGGCCUUGACGUCGCGGUGGACGACCACCUGCUCCCACUUCUCGUGGAGGUAGAAGAGGCCCGACGCCACGUCCUUGACGAUUUGGAGCCGCUGCGCCCACUCCAGCAGCGGCUUGUCGUCCUCGCCGUAGAGGUACUUGUCGAGGCUGGCGUUGGGCAUGUAGUCGUAGACGAGGAGCAGCUCGCGGUGCUUCCGGCGGCAGUAGCCGAGCAGCUGCACGAGGUUGCGGUGGCGGAGGUGGCCGAUGCUGACCACCUCGGAGAUGAACUCCCUCAGCCCCUGGGAGGAGUCGUGGGAGACCCUCUUGACGGCGACCUCCGUGCCGGAAUUGGGGAGGACGCCCUUGUACACCUUGCCGAAGCCGCCGGCGCCGAGUAGGUGCUUGCUCUUGAACCCUUCCGUCGCCUGGAACAGGUCCUUGUACGAGAACCGGUGCGGCCCGAACUCGACCUCCCAGUCUUCUCGCAGCUCCGCGUAUGUGAGGUGCCUCCGGACUAGGAGGAUGGCUGUGAUGCAGGUGGUCAGGAUGAAGACGAAGGCUGCUAUCGGCAGCCCGAUCUCCAAGCCUUUCACCCCGCCAGCAGCUUCGUGGUGGUGGCUGGAGUUGGAGUUGGAGUUGGAGUUGGAGUUGGGCAGCUUGGGGAUCUUGGUGAAAUCAAUCGGUGGAGCAGGCCCGUUCACGGCGAAGCUCCAGGCGAGCACGCAGUGCUGCGAACCGCCAGGUCCGGUUGCGCCGGAGAAGCCAACGAAAGCCUUGUCGUCGGUGAUCACAGGUGAGAGGUCGGUGGUGUUUGAGAGCAGCGGUUUCGACGGCUUCGUCACUCCCAUGGGAGCCAGGGUGACAUUGAGCUGUUUGCUCUGGCCAUCAUAGUCUACCCAAGCUUGCAUGGCCUUGCCAUGACUGCUAAUGAGACUGAAGGUCGUGAGCGCACCGUCGUCGGUUUCGUCGUGGAAGGCGGCGGUGUGAGAAUACACGGAGGAGAGCGCGUUGAUGUCGACGCCGACAUGGUUGGCGUCGAUGUCGUGGAACUCGUUGUUCUUGAUGGUGUCGAGCUCCACGGCGAAGAAGUGGUCGCUGCUGGGGCCGUUAUUGCUGCUCGUCGUGCUGUUGAGCAAGCCCAAGCCCAAGUACUGAGCCCCCGACGCGUUGGAGAAAUCCUUGCCGGGGGCGAUGACGAAGGCCAUACCAUCAGAACUGAAAUCGGAGUAGGCAGACAUGAUGGCGAAGACGAAGGCGACGGAGAAGGACUGCACCGUGCCAUUGGAGGAGUCCUUGAACUGAACCGGGUUCCGGUAGAACGCGUGGCCUUUGGAAUCAGUCUCGUUGUUCGUCAGCUCGAGGAGUCCUUCCCCGGUGACUGUGCCGUCGCCGUCGAGGGUGAUGAGGUCGGCAUCGGCACCGCCGGCGGGGAAGCCGGAGAAGACAAAGGACUCGUUGCCGGCAUCACCGAACCCCGGAAGGUUGAGGCCGAGGCACAGGAGGACGAAGGCUACAAGGAAGGAGGACAUGGGAAGAAGAAGAUUCAUGUCUAGAUCGACUGUGUGAGAACUGAGAACUCAACCAAUGCAAGACUAGCUAUAAAUUCACAAUGUAUUAUAGUACUCUUCACCGCUGUGACUCAUUAGUUUCUAGUCUACCUUCUUUUACUCCGUUGCUAGCUUCUUGACGACUUUUUUUUACAGCGAUUGCCGGCGGCUACAGCAACUUGUAAGGCGACGGGUAGACGACCGGAGACUAGCAGCACGCCCCGGGGUCGUCGUGAGUCGUGACUCGACUCGUGUUGCACAUGUGGUGGACAUCAUCUGAAUUUAAUUCCCUGAAUAUAACGUGGUUGUGUUUCACCAUUAAAAUAUAUAUAUAAUGUGAUUGUUAGAAGACAAAGCUAGCUUGUCCUUUUGUGCUGUAUGUACUAAAUUUUGCC
RNAcentral lists this long non-coding RNA (2416 nucleotides) under Sorghum bicolor (sorghum). RNAcentral's name for it is "long non-coding RNA (SBIC_LNC001901)". Lineage: Eukaryota; Viridiplantae; Streptophyta; Magnoliopsida; Poales; Poaceae. The record is from RNAcentral.